This 253-nucleotide ribosomal RNA is filed under the name uncultured bacterium. RNAcentral describes it as "partial 16S ribosomal RNA". It matches the Rfam family "Bacterial small subunit ribosomal RNA", at positions 524 to 776 of the family's 1533-position model. The record is from RNAcentral.
UACAGAGGUCUCAAGCGUUGUUCGGAUUCAUUGGGCGUAAAGGGUGCGUAGGCGGCGCGGUAAGUCGGGUGUGAAAUCUCGGAGCUUAACUCCGAAACUGCAUUCGAUACUGCCGUGCUUGAGGACUGGAGAGGAGACUGGAAUUUACGGUGUAGCGGUGAAAUGCGUAGAUAUCGGGAGGAACACCAGUGGCGAAGGCGGUUGCCUGGAGCUUUGCUGACGCUGAUGCGCGAAAGCGUGGGGAGCGAUCCGG